This 710-nucleotide ribosomal RNA is filed under the name Escherichia coli. RNAcentral's name for it is "partial 23S ribosomal RNA". It matches the Rfam family "Bacterial large subunit ribosomal RNA", at positions 2211 to 2915 of the family's 2925-position model. The record is from RNAcentral. Lineage: Bacteria; Pseudomonadati; Pseudomonadota; Gammaproteobacteria; Enterobacterales; Enterobacteriaceae.
UGUUUGAUGUUCUAACGUGGACCCGUGAUCCGGGUUGCGGACAGUGUCUGGUGGGUAGUUUGACUGGGGCGGUCUCCUCCUAAAGAGUAACGGAGGAGCACGAAGGUUGGCUAAUCCUGGUCGGACAUCAGGAGGUUAGUGCAAUGGCAUAAGCCAGCUUGACUGCGAGCGUGACGGCGCGAGCAGGUGCGAAAGCAGGUCAUAGUGAUCCGGUGGUUCUGAAUGGAAGGGCCAUCGCUCAACGGAUAAAAGGUACUCCGGGGAUAACAGGCUGAUACCGCCCAAGAGUUCAUAUCGACGGCGGUGUUUGGCACCUCGAUGUCGGCUCAUCACAUCCUGGGGCUGAAGUAGGUCCCAAGGGUAUGGCUGUUCGCCAUUUAAAGUGGUACGCGAGCUGGGUUUAGAACGUCGUGAGACAGUUCGGUCCCUAUCUGCCGUGGGCGCUGGAGAACUGAGGGGGGCUGCUCCUAGUACGAGAGGACCGGAGUGGACGCAUCACUGGUGUUCGGGUUGUCAUGCCAAUGGCACUGCCCGGUAGCUAAAUGCGGAAGAGAUAAGUGCUGAAAGCAUCUAAGCACGAAACUUGCCCCGAGAUGAGUUCUCCCUGACUCCUUGAGAGUCCUGAAGGAACGUUGAAGACGACGACGUUGAUAGGCCGGGUGUGUAAGCGCAGCGAUGCGUUGAGCUAACCGGUACUAAUGAACCGUGAG